UACGUAGGUCCCGAGCGUUGUCCGGAUUAUUGGGCGUAAAGCGAGCGCAGGUGGUUUAUUAAGUCUGGUGUAAAAGGCAGUGGCUCAACCAUUGUAUGCAUUGGAAACUGGUAGACUUGAGUGCAGGAGAGGAGAGUGGAAUUCCAUGUGUGGCGGUGAAAUGCGUAGAUAUAUGGAGGAACACCGGUGGCGAAAGCGGCUCUCUGGCCUGUAACUGACACUGAGGCUCGAAAGCGUGGGGAGCAAACAGG
Molecule: ribosomal RNA, 251 nt
Filed under: uncultured bacterium
Lineage: Bacteria
Description: partial 16S ribosomal RNA
Rfam family: Bacterial small subunit ribosomal RNA
Source: RNAcentral